Molecule: long non-coding RNA, 782 nt
Filed under: Mus caroli (Ryukyu mouse)
Lineage: Eukaryota; Metazoa; Chordata; Mammalia; Rodentia; Muridae
Description: lncRNA (MGP_CAROLIEiJ_G0003978.1)
Source: RNAcentral
CGGGAGGGGGUGGGGGGAAGUGGGAGGUGCCGAGGUUAGGCUCUGAACAAUAGGGGUGGGUAGGGGCGGGGCUUAAUGUGUACAGGUGACAGCCAGCCCCAAACUAGAAUUCCUUGUUACUUUUCCAGGGCUGGAUUUAGUACUUAGUAAGAGAACUGGAUCAUAGCUCUCCAAGAUAGGGACCAAGAAGUUGGGGACAGAGCCUGUUACUUGGAUGGAGACACUGGACCAAAAUAAGGGGUGGAGCUCAAAAAAGCGUUGGCGCUACUAGGCGGAAAAGGCAGGCUUGGAAGGCCGAGAACAGGAACUUGUCUGCUGGCCCUAACCCUAGCCCCACCGGGCCCACACCUUGACUGGUUGUCCGUUGCUCGUCCGUAAGAGGCUUUGGUCGUCCGCCUCGAUGCCAAAAGCCAUAAAGGGCCCCGUGGCGAUGUCCCCCCAGUAUCCGCGUGCAGCCACGCGUUCCCCACGCUGGAAAAAACCAAAGCCACCCAAAUUUCAAGCAAAUUCCACUUCCCCCCCAACAAAGGUGGGCAGCUGUGGCACCUUGAGCAGCCGAAGGCUAAGCCAGGGUAGCUGCUCCUCCAGGCGAUCAGGCUCCAGGACCAGAUUAGCCAGGUGGCUAGCCUGAGCACGCAGGAAGGCAGCUACCGAGGGUCGCAGCAGCGCGUUCCCCCACAGCUCCAGGAAGGUCUCACUCCGCUCUGGAGGAGGGAAGGAUGAAACAGGGAGGGAGGGAGACUUAAUAAACUGCACCAAUCCAGGAACUGCAGCCACCACCC